RNAcentral lists this ribosomal RNA (465 nucleotides) under Vreelandella stevensii. RNAcentral describes it as "partial 16S ribosomal RNA". It matches the Rfam family "Bacterial small subunit ribosomal RNA", at positions 338 to 795 of the family's 1533-position model. The record is from RNAcentral. Lineage: Bacteria; Pseudomonadati; Pseudomonadota; Gammaproteobacteria; Oceanospirillales; Halomonadaceae.
CCUACGGGUGGCUGCAGUGGGGAAUAUUGGACAAUGGGCGAAAGCCUGAUCCAGCCAUGCCGCGUGUGUGAAGAAGGCCUUCGGGUUGUAAAGCACUUUCAGUGGGGAAGAAAGCCUUGGGGCUAAUACCCUCGAGGAAGGACAUCACCCACAGAAGAAGCACCGGCUAACUCCGUGCCAGCAGCCGCGGUAAUACGGAGGGUGCGAGCGUUAAUCGGAAUUACUGGGCGUAAAGCGCGCGUAGGCGGUCUGAUAAGCCGGUUGUGAAAGCCCCGGGCUCAACCUGGGAACGGCAUCCGGAACUGUCAGGCUAGAGUGCAGGAGAGGAAGGUAGAAUUCCCGGUGUAGCGGUGAAAUGCGUAGAGAUCGGGAGGAAUACCAGUGGCGAAGGCGGCCUUCUGGACUGAUACUGACGCUGAGGUGCGAAAGCGUGGGUAGCAAACAGGAUUAGAUACCCCGGUAGUC